Molecule: ribosomal RNA, 85 nt
Filed under: Bacillus amyloliquefaciens
Lineage: Bacteria; Bacillati; Bacillota; Bacilli; Caryophanales; Bacillaceae
Also listed under: 7 other names
Source: RNAcentral
UUCCCAUGCCGAACACGGAAGUUAAGCUCUUCAGCGCCGAUGGUAGUCGGGGGUUUCCCCCUGUGAGAGUAGGACGCCGCCAAGC